CCUACGCGAGGCAGCAGUGGGGAAUAUUGCGCAAUGGGCGAAAGCCUGACGCAGCGACGCCGCGUGAGGGAUGAAGGUCUUCGGAUCGUAAACCUCUGUCAGCAGGGAAGAACGGUCACUGUGCUAAUCAGCAGUGAAUUGACGGUACCUGCAAAGGACGCACCGGCUACCUCCGUGCCAGCAGCCGCGGUAAUACGGAGGGUGCGAGCGUUAAUCGGAAUUACUGGGCGUAGAGCGCUCGUAGGCGGUAUGUCAAGUCAAGGGUGAAAUCCCCGCGCUCAACGUGGGAACUGCCUUUGAAACUGGCAACAGGGAGUGUGUGAGAGGAUAGUGGAAGUCCAGGUGUAGGAGUGAAAUCCGGAGAUAUCUGGAGGAACAUCAGUGGCGAAGGCGACUAUCUGGCACAUAACUGACGCUGAGGAGCGAAAGCGUGGGUAGCAAACAGGAGUAGAUACCCGGGUAGUC
This 465-nucleotide ribosomal RNA is filed under the name uncultured bacterium. Its description in RNAcentral is "partial 16S ribosomal RNA". It matches the Rfam family "Bacterial small subunit ribosomal RNA", at positions 338 to 795 of the family's 1533-position model. The record is from RNAcentral.